CACCAAUCCACUUUCUGUGUCUAAGUUCCCCAGUGUGGGGCUUUGGUGUCUUGAGCAUUGUGUCCUUAAGGUCCCCCAACAUUGUGUGGUUAUCAGAGGGUUGCAUGUUUUUAUCAGAGCGGUGCUCCUGUUUAUGGCUGCAUAAUACUUCAUGAAGUGAACGCUGGGAGCUGGCCUUUCCCACUUUUGCCUGUUGUGAAUCUCUGUGUGAGCACACAGGCAGGGUUGAGCCUCCCAGGACCCUGGCCCUCCCAAGGUCAGGCAGAGAGUGUAAGGGGAUCCCUGAGUCAUUCACUAAGGGAGAUGUAUCUUAUUGAAGUCUGCUGUUAUUUUAGUACAUUUGUUGUUGUUUUUGUCGUUGAUGUUAUUUCAUAGACCCAUGUAGCCCAGGCUGACCUAAAAUUCCCCACAUAGCUUAGGCUAUCCCUGAGCUCUGAUCCUCCAGCCUGUGUAUUUUCAUUACUAAGACCACACAUGUGAACAUGACUAGGGAGGACAGGAAGGUAGGGUGACCCUUGAAGAAUUUCUGACCUUGCAGUGUUCCCAUGAAGCUUUGGGAGCCUGCCAAGACCUCCUUAGGACACUGUCAGCUUCGAAGACAGCACCAGUGAGCACUUCCUGCUCUGGCCAAGGGUCACAGCCUGUCCAGCUGCCCGUGUGACCUGGACUGUGUGUGCCCUGCACCUCCCUGUCAGGGGUCAGAACAGGAGUAGGGUACAGGGCUCGGGCUCAGGGACUAGAGGCUGAAGUCUCUCCCAUGUGAAUGCUUUGACUCUCAGGUCCUUAGGACAUGCUACAAAGGGAAGACAGGCAGGACUGGCUAUCCAGGCUCUCUGAGGGCUAAGAGCGCAGGAUGUGAGUCCCAGUGAGCUCCAAAGUAAGACUUUGUCUCCCCUGUGGUGGUGCGCACACCUUUAAUGUCAGCACUCAGGAGGCAGAGACAGGAGGAUGGCUGCAAGUUCGAGGCAGCCUGAUCUACAGAAGAGAGUUCCGGGACAGCCAGGGCUACACAGAGAAACCCUGCCUCAAAAAAAAUAAAUAAAUAAAUAAAUAAAAGACUGUUUCAAAAAGUAAAGAGAUGGCUCAGUGGUUAUAAGCGCUAUCCUGAGUUCAAUUCCCUGCAAGCACAUGGUUGCUCACAACCAUCCAGAAGGGGAUCUGAUGCCCUCCUCUGCCAUGCAGGCAUACGUGCAAACAAAGUCUCAUAUACAUAAAUAAGGGAAUCUUUAAAAAAAUAUAAAGUAGAAAGAGGGCUGGGGUGUGGUCAGUGUGAGUCCCGCCUAGAAUCUCCUCCUCCCCUGUGAGGGUCUGGAGGCGUGGUCAGCAGUACUGUGUGUCCUAAUGCAAGGUCCCAGUCAUCUCCUGGGUCCGUAAAAGUGUCCCUUUCCCUUUCUUCAUUGUUUUGGAUUUCAAGGUGCUGUGGUUGGAGCCCAGUGCCUCACCUCCUGCACUAGGCAGCAGUCACUAUGAAGCCACAUCACAGCUCCAAGACACCUUUUCCUAUUUGCAUGGCCCAGGCCCCAAGGGAGCUGUGAGAUUUGUCUCGAAGGCUUGGUUUCUGUCUGGCUAGGGCGCCCACAAACACCUGCUUCUAAACUGUAAACCUGAGUCAGGACAGGACAGAAACUCAGCCUGUCCCCAGCCCUGUGGCCAAAGAGGGAGCCUGAGAGUCCACCUAGCCCUCCAUCCAGGGACCUCUUGGUCCUCCUGCCACACAGGACCUUGCAGAAGGCGGGGCACCUCUGUCCUGAAGUCUCCCCAAAGGCUCCCCAGCCCUCCUGAGCCCAUGCAUGGCCAGACAGCAGACUGGGGAGGGAUGACAGGGCUGACUUCAGGGGAGAGGAAUUCCGCCCAGCCAGUGUCUAGACUGUGGGACGCAGGCUGCAGGGACCCGGCGGGAGCAAGGCCAGCGGCGGGAUGUGCUGCCACCUGGUGGCCACACCACGCACAACCUUCAGAUUCAACACUGAUCUCUGUCAGGGGUCCCAGGCUGUACGGAGCCCACGGAGAGUAUCAAAAGAGGAAAACCUAUAUGUAUUUCACAAUUUAAUGAUGCAACUGAUGAACGAAAUUUUGGGGUCGCUGCUCCGUGGGUGGAGCCCGGGCUCGUCCAGAGCGCAAGAAGCCCUGAGUUCCACCCCCAGCAUUGCAAAAACCAGGAGUGGCAGGUCACACGCCUGUCAUCUUAGCAUCCCAGAUCCUCAGGCAGGAGGAUAAGGAGUUCAAGCUUAGCAGGAUGCUGAGCCCAGUCUCUGAUGCUUACCCGUUCCGUGCAAAGAGCUCCUGAAUGGGACAACCACAUGUGUCCCCAGACAUCACCCACAGUCCCCACAAAACUGAAUUAACCCUUUAGCCAGAGGAUUCCAUUACUUUAAGGGAAUCUGUGGCCCACAGUCACCUAAUCUAGCUCCUGAGGAUCAAGCCACACUUCUCUGUGAAGGACUGGUCAGGACCACACCUGCCCCUCUGAGAUCUCAGAACCCCGGGUCUGCAAACCAAGGCCUGUCUGUCUUUCUUCUUCUUCUUCUUCUUCUUCUUCUUCUUCUUCUUCUUCUUCUUCUUCUUCUUCUUCUUCUUCUUCUUCUUCUUCUUCUUCUUCUUCUUCUCCUCCUCCUCCUCCUCCUCCUCCUCCUCCUCCUCCUCUUCCUCCUCCUCCUCCUCCUCCUUCCUCUUCUUCUUGGAGCUGGGGACCGAACCCAGGGCCUUGCGCUGGCUAGGCAAGCACUCUACGGCUGAGCUAAAUCCCCAACUCCCUCCUCCUCCUCCUCUUCCUCCUCCUCCUUUUCUUCUUCCUCUUUUUUUUUUUUUUUUUUUUCUGGUUUCUUGAGCCAGUAUGUUCCUGGCUGUUCUGGAAUCGCUUUGUAGACCAGGCUGGACUUGAACUCAGAUGACUGCCUCCUUCUGCUUCCCAAGUGUGCUGGUACUAAAGGCUAGUACCACUACUGCCCAGUUCUGUUCGUGCACUGAUACAGGGUCUCAUGUAGCUGAGGCUACCCCUCCUGCCUCCAAACUCCCAACUGCUGGGACAACAAGUGUGUCUGUCCUACUAUAUCCAGUUUUCACGGCUCUGGAGACAGAAACCAGGGCCUUGGGCGUGCUGCGGGGCACUCUGCCCACUGACAUGGAGGAGGACAGAUACCAGGAGUCAGGCUUGGGGUUAUCUAAAGUUAAGUUUCAGAAGGAAAUCUGCCGUGUACACAACCAGCUGCAAUAGGGGAGCCCUGGACCCCUUGCUCAGCCCUGGGCUCCCAUGUGACUGUCCACACAGACUAAGAAGUCCAGCUGCCGUGGGACCUCUGUCCACCCGGCUCUCUUUUGACACAGGGUCUCAUGUAGCCCAGGCUGGAUUUGAACUCCCCAUUCAGCCCAGGAUAACUCUGAGCUGACCUCCCUAGUGCUCUGAUUCCUGUGGAGAUGGGGGUGAAGCCCAGGUCCCCUGCCUGCCUGGCAGGUGCUCUGCCCUCCGAGUCCCACCCACAUCCCUCUAAUUUGCAUCAUUUUCUCAAUUAUCUUUUUUUUUUUUUGACAUCCUGUUGAUCUGGUGGCUUGAGUAAUUCCCACAGUUGACACUGUCCUGAUGUGGGCUGAGGUUGGCUCAGGUCUGUGGUCACAGAGCAUCACAGAAGAGGAGGUGAGGAUACACCAGGCACAGGGACAGGAUGGGGGUGAUGUUCUGUAGGAACCGUGCCCAGAGGUUGGGUUUCAUUUUCUUUUUUUUUUCCCUCCCCACCCCUCAUUUUCUUAAAAUCAUUUAUUGAUCUUUAAUUCCACACAUCAUAAAGUGGACUCGCAGUGGGUAAUGUCACUUAACGGAAUUGAACCCACUUCUCCCAAGACAGUUCAGGCUGGUCUUCCCAAUACUCAGGAAUCAGAGGCAGGAGUUCAACUUCAUCUGUGCCUCGGAGGGGGUGUGGGGGGCGAUGGAUUCUGGGAGGGGAGCCGAGCGCCGGGCUGUGGCUGGGAGGGUGACUGGGUCCCUGGUUACACGUGCAUCCGAGGCUUCACACCCCAGGUGCAGCUACUGAAGUGUGCAGUUCGCCGCUCUUCACACAGCUGCGGGGGCGGCGGGGGUGGCAGGCGGCAGCUUGGUCUACCGAUGUGUUCUCAGGCUCAGCCACUCCCACACAGGGUCCAAUGCCCGGGGACGCAGGUAUUGAGAUGAGCCAGGAGUGGUGAUCAGCAAGGGCCCUGGGAACGGGCUUACACUGGCGUCUCCAUAGCAACGUGGUUCCCGGAAACCAGAAACCAGAGCCUAAAGUGUCCAUCAACAGACAUAGUCCAUCCCCUCCGGACUCCUUGGUCAUGAGAAAAAAGUCACACGACACUUGUUCGUGGAGGGAUUUCAAGGCUCAGUGGCAGGAGCCGGACACACAGCAACACACCUGGGAUCCACUCCCAGGAUGCCGCGGGAGCCCUGGGACGCAGAGACAGGACCGGGGAGAAGAACUGGCCUGCGAGAGGAGGGCGGAGCUUCAGUCUGGGAAUGUGGGCAGAGAGUAUCGUCUUGGAGAAUGAGGUCUGUUGGAAGGGACAUGAGAAGACACCCAGCAGCGACACGGAGACACACCCUCAGCCCUGCAUCCUCCAGACCGGAUCUAGGGAGCAUCCCCAGGGUGGUCACCCAGGCCGCAGCAUCACGGACUUCCACCCACUCCGCACCUAGGGUAACAGACACGCGUGUCCCCGACAUCUCAAGGUCCCGUCGUGGAGACUGAGCAGGAACAGCCAUGAGGAGGUGACCGUGAGAAAACUUACAUACACAUGUUCACGCACAGCCAUGCGCAUAUAUUGGCCAAGUGCAUGCAAUGCCCUCAAAGUCCAGAAGGGGCAUCAGAGCCCCGGGGAAUGACGUCACAGACGUUAGGGAUCCUUGUCGGUGCCAGAUACCAAACUUCAGGUCAGAAGCAAAAACAUAUGUUUUUAAAUCCUGCCCAUUGCCACCAGUCCCAGUCAGACCCAUUAAAAUUUUUUAAGUACA
Non-coding RNA from Rattus norvegicus (Norway rat), 4978 nucleotides. NCBI's taxonomy places the organism in Eukaryota, Metazoa, Chordata, Mammalia, Rodentia, Muridae. The record is from RefSeq and is a predicted model, not a curated record.